RNAcentral lists this ribosomal RNA (221 nucleotides) under uncultured bacterium. RNAcentral describes it as "partial 16S ribosomal RNA". It matches the Rfam family "Bacterial small subunit ribosomal RNA", at positions 29 to 248 of the family's 1533-position model. The record is from RNAcentral.
AACGAACGCUGGCGGCAUGCCUAACACAUGCAAGUCGAACGGUGAUGCAGAGCUUGCUCUGCUGAUCAGUGGCGAACGGGUGAGUAACACGUGAGUAACCUGCCCUUGACUCUGGGAUGAGCGUUGGAAACGACGUCUAAUACCGGAUACGACCCGUGGAGGCAUCUUCGUGGGUGGAAAGAUUUUUUCGGUUGGGGAUGGACUCGCGGCCUAUCAGCUUG